This 489-nucleotide RNase P RNA is filed under the name Opitutaceae bacterium EW11. RNAcentral describes it as "RNase P RNA component class A". It matches the Rfam family "Bacterial RNase P class A". Rfam says of the family: Ribonuclease P (RNase P) is a ubiquitous endoribonuclease, found in archaea, bacteria and eukarya as well as chloroplasts and mitochondria. Its best characterised activity is the generation of mature 5'-ends of tRNAs by cleaving the 5'-leader elements of precursor-tRNAs. Cellular RNase Ps are ribonucleoproteins. Lineage: Bacteria; Pseudomonadati; Verrucomicrobiota; Opitutia; Opitutales; Opitutaceae. The record is from RNAcentral.
UCGGAGCCAGAUUGUCGCUCCACGUUCUUUGAUCCCAAGGCGCGGGUAACGCCGCGCUCGUUGAACCGUGGAGAGGAAAGUCCGGACACUGCAGGGCAGGAUUCCAGGCAAGAAACGUUGUCGCGCCGGCGCGGCAGGCCGCAAGGCCACCGUCCGGAGUCGCUUCUGCUCAAGCCGGGGCGCUUCAGGUCAAGCUGAAGCGACGGACAGUGUCACAGAAAACAGGUAGCCUCCAGCAGGCCGCGAAAGCGUCCGGCGCGAGGUGAUAGUGAAAAGGUGGGGUAAGAGCCCACCGCGUUCGCCCGCGAGGGCGGCGGCACGAAAAACCCAAUCCGGUGCAAGACAAAAUAGGCGGCUGGACGGCCCGUCCCAAAGCCGCGGGUAUGUCGCAUCCCGCUUCGGUGGGAAGGCUGCACAAGCAGCCUAGAGAAAUGACAAUUAGGGGCGCCUCACGGCGCCCCACAGAAUCCGGCUUACGGCUCCGAAACU